AGAUUGAACGCUAGCGGGAUGCUUUACACAUGCAAGUCGAACGGCAGCGCGGACUUCGGUCUGGCGGCGAGUGGCGAACGGGUGAGUAAUAUAUCGGAACGUGCCCAGUAGCGGGGGAUAACUACGCGAAAGCGUGGCUAAUACCGCAUACGCCCUACGGGGGAAAGGGGGGGAUCGCAAGACCUCUCACUAUUGGAGCGGCCGAUAUCAGAUUAGCUAGUUGGUGAGGUAAAGGCUCACCAAGGCGACGAUCUGUAGCUGGUUUGAGAGGACGACCAGCCACACUGGGACUGAGACACGGCCCAGACUCCUACGGGAGCAGCAGGUGGGAAUUUGGACAAGUGGGGGAAACCCUGAGUCCAGCCAUCCCGCGUGUGCGA
Molecule: ribosomal RNA, 380 nt
Filed under: uncultured soil bacterium
Lineage: Bacteria
Description: bacterial SSU rRNA
Rfam family: Bacterial small subunit ribosomal RNA
Source: RNAcentral